CAGCAGCCGCGGUAAUACGUAGGGUCCAAGCGUUAAUCGGAAUUACUGGGCGUAAAGCGUGCGCAGGCGGUCGUGCAAGACCGAUGUGAAAUCCCCGGGCUUAACCUGGGAAUUGCAUUGGUGACUGCACGGCUAGAGUGUGUCAGAGGGGGGUAGAAUUCCACGUGUAGCAGUGAAAUGCGUAGAGAUGUGGAGGAAUACCGAUGGCGAAGGCAGCCCCCUGGGAUAACACUGACGCUCAUGCACGAAAGCGUGGGGAGCAAACAGGAUUAGAUACCCUGGUAGUCCACGCCGUAAACGAUGACUGCUAGGUGUCGGGUAGCAAAGCUAUUCGGUGCCGCAGCUAACGCAAUAAGCAGUCCACCUGGGGAGU
This 373-nucleotide ribosomal RNA is filed under the name uncultured bacterium. RNAcentral describes it as "bacterial SSU rRNA". It matches the Rfam family "Bacterial small subunit ribosomal RNA", at positions 509 to 881 of the family's 1533-position model. The record is from RNAcentral.